Molecule: transfer RNA, 72 nt
Filed under: Bos taurus (domestic cattle)
Lineage: Eukaryota; Metazoa; Chordata; Mammalia; Artiodactyla; Bovidae
Also listed under: 5 other names
Rfam family: tRNA
About the family: Transfer RNA (tRNA) molecules are approximately 80 nucleotides in length. Their secondary structure includes four short double-helical elements and three loops (D, anti-codon, and T loops).
Source: Rfam by way of RNAcentral
UCCCUGGUGGCUCAGACGGUAAAGAAUCUGCUUUCAAUGCAGGAGACUCAGGUUCCAUCCCUGAUUGGGAAG